This 460-nucleotide ribosomal RNA is filed under the name uncultured bacterium. RNAcentral describes it as "partial 16S ribosomal RNA". It matches the Rfam family "Bacterial small subunit ribosomal RNA", at positions 338 to 795 of the family's 1533-position model. The record is from RNAcentral.
CCUACGGGAGGCAGCAGUGAGGAAUAUUGGUCAAUGGGCGGAAGCCUGAACCAGCCAAGUAGCGUGCAGGAUGACGGCCCUACGGGUUGUAAACUGCUUUUAUACGGGAAUAACGCGCCUUACGUGUAGGGCUUUGCAUGUACCGUAUGAAUAAGGACCGGCUAAUUCCGUGCCAGCAGCCGCGGUAAUACGGAAGGUCCGGGCGUUAUCCGGCUUUAUUGGGUUUAAAGGGAGCGUAGGCCGCAUGUCAAGCGUGCUGUGAAAUGUACGGGCUCAACCCGGGCCUUGCAGCGCGGACUGGCGUGCUUGAGUCCGCGGAAAGCAGGCGGAAGUCGUCGUGUAGCGGUGAAAGGCUUAGAUAUGACGAAGAACCCCGAUUGCGAAGGCAGCUUGCUGCAGCGGAACUGACGCUGAUGCUCGAAAGCGCGGGUAUCGAACAGGAUUAGAUACCCUUGUAGUC